Molecule: non-coding RNA, 774 nt
Organism: Poecilia reticulata (guppy)
Lineage: Eukaryota; Metazoa; Chordata; Actinopteri; Cyprinodontiformes; Poeciliidae
Source: RefSeq, a predicted model, not a curated record
CUGCACAGGUCUCAGGCAUUUUAGCCAUAGGAACCACCUCCAGCUUAUCAGUGAACUGGACAAAAGCAGUUGGGCAGGUUUCCUCAUACYUUGUCCAGUUAUACAAUAACACAAAUUCCUUGAUAAACAACACAGAGCUGAGUAAUGAGACUACACAGUUUAAAUUUGAGUAUUUGAAACCAGGAGUGCUUUACCGUGUUGAGGUUGUCACCAAAAGUGGACCGAAGGAGAGCAACAGAAGUGUUGUUUCUAAUGCAACUUUUCCUAACCCCCCCGGCUCUAUCAAGGUGGACUUUCAGACCAACAGCUCCAUCAGAUUUAGUUGGUCCCUUCCAGCUGAUAUGAACCCUGACCAAUACUUCAUUGUGUCCACUAAAAAUGGCUCUAAUGUUACAACGAACAAYUGGWUCCUGAUGGAAAACCUUGAGUCAGGAUCCAAGUACAAAGUUUCUGUAGUCACUGUUGGUGCAUUGGACUACAGAAGUACAGAAGAGAGCACACAAAACUAUACAAGACCAAAUCCGGUGACAAGUCUGACAAAGACAGAAAUCACCACUAGUUCAGUAACCCUGAAGUGGAAUCAGCCAAGCAGCAAACCACCCUACAUUUAUGAAGUGAAGCUUGAUAGUGUUGUUCCUAAUGAAUCACGGUUGGAAAGGGUAAACACUACAACAUUUACAUUUGAUGGUCUUACGCCUGGGAACCAAUACAAUUUUACCGUCACUACAAUAACAGAAGAUUACACUCGAGCAGAGUCUGURAAGAUUUUCUACU